AUUGAACGCUGGCGGCAGGCCUAACACAUGCAAGUCGAGCGGAUGAAGGGAGCUUGCUCCUGGAUUCAGCGGCGGACGGGUGAGUAAUGCCUAGGAAUCUGCCUGGUAGUGGGGGAUAACGUCCGGAAACGGGCGCUAAUACCGCAUACGUCCUGAGGUAGAAAGUGGGGGAUCUUCGGACCUCACGCUAUCAGAUGAGCCUAGGUCGUAUUAGCUAGUUGGUGGGGUAAAGGCCUACCAAGGCGACGAUCCGUAACUGGUCUGAGAGGAUGAUCAGUCACACUGGAACUGAGACACGGUCCAGACUCCUACGGGAGGCAGCAGUGGGGAAUAUUGGACAAUGGGCGAAAGCCUGAUCCAGCCAUGCCGCGUGUGUGAAGAAGGUCUUCGGAUUGUAAAGCACUUUAAGUUGGGAGGAAGGGAAGUAAGUUAAUACCUUGCUGUUUUGACGUUACCAACAGAAUAAGCACCGGCUAACUUCGUG
This 484-nucleotide ribosomal RNA is filed under the name uncultured bacterium. RNAcentral's name for it is "partial 16S ribosomal RNA". It matches the Rfam family "Bacterial small subunit ribosomal RNA", at positions 30 to 507 of the family's 1533-position model. The record is from RNAcentral.